CCGAACAUUAUCGUUACCAGAAUCCUUCAAAAUAAUUGGUCAACCUUCAACCUCUUAAUAAGGAAUAAUAUAAUUAGAACAAGAACCGACGAAAAAAAUCAUUAUUAACUGUAAAAUAGGAAGCCAAAAAAUUUCAGACAGACAAAGAGAGCACACAAAUGAGAAAACAAAAUAGUUGAAGCAACAAGAUCAUCGUAUUUUACCAGUAGAAAAGAUUACUGCAAUUGGCAACUUUGUAGUAGUACUCCUUCACUAGCUACUUGAUGGUGAUGGAGAAUUAAAUACAUAUACAUAUAUGGACUUUAAAUUAAGAGUUUGCUACACGUGAUAUUGGCACGGCUCAAUCAAAAAGUAGAGUCAAAAUUUGUCGAGUACUGCUUUCUCAUUGAACCGCACCAAUAUCUCGUGUAUUCAUCCGACUACAACUUCAACAAUAUCCAUCCUUGAUUUUGACUUUGAUUUUCCUUUUCCAUCAUAUUUACAAAAGCAAAAUAAUUCUACGGGUGGAAUGAAUCAAGUUGAGGAAAAAAAUUCAAAGGAUUGAGGAAAU
This 550-nucleotide long non-coding RNA is filed under the name Nicotiana tabacum (common tobacco). The record is from RNAcentral. Lineage: Eukaryota; Viridiplantae; Streptophyta; Magnoliopsida; Solanales; Solanaceae.